AGCGAACGCUGGCGGCAGGCCUAACACAUGCAAGUCGAACGAACCUUUCGGGGUUAGUGGCGGACGGGUGAGUAACACGUGGGAACGUGCCUUUAGGUUCGGCAUAACUCAGGGAAACUUGUGCUAAUACCGAAUGUGCCCUUCGGGGGAAAGAUUAAUCGCCUUUAGAGCGGCCCGCGUCUGAUUAGCUAGUUGGUUGAGGUAAUGGCUCACCAAGGCGACGAUCAGUAGCUGGUCUGAGAGGAUGAUCAGCCACAUUGGGACUGAGACACGGCCCAAACUCCUACGGGAGGCAGCAGUGGGGAAUCUUGCGCAAUGGGCGAAAGCCUGACGCAGCCAGGCCGCGUGAAUGAUGAAGGUCUUAGGAUUGUAAAAUUCUUUCACCGGGGACGAUAAUGACGGUACCCGGAGAAGAAGCCCCGGCUAACUUCGUG
Molecule: ribosomal RNA, 434 nt
Filed under: uncultured bacterium
Lineage: Bacteria
Description: partial 16S ribosomal RNA
Rfam family: Bacterial small subunit ribosomal RNA
Source: RNAcentral